GCCACCAUGGCAUAGUGGUUUGAGUGUUGGACUACAGCUCUGGAGACCAGGGUUUGAAUCCCAGCUUAGCCA
Molecule: transfer RNA, 72 nt
Filed under: Phrynosoma platyrhinos (Desert horned lizard)
Lineage: Eukaryota; Metazoa; Chordata; Lepidosauria; Squamata; Phrynosomatidae
Description: tRNA-OTHER
Source: RNAcentral